UACGUAGGGUGCGAGCGUUGUCCUGAAUUAUUGGGCGUAAAGGGCUCGUAGGCGGUUUGUCGCGUCGGGAGUGAAAACACCGGGCUUAACUCGGUGCUUGCUUUCGAUACGGGCAGACUAGAGGUAUGCAGGGGAGAACGGAAUUCCAGGUGUAGCGGUGAAAUGCGUAGAUAUCUGGAGGAAUACCGGUGGCGAAGGCGGCAUCCUGGACCGACAUUGACGCUGAGGCGCGACAGCGUGGGGAGCAAACAGG
This 253-nucleotide ribosomal RNA is filed under the name uncultured bacterium. RNAcentral describes it as "partial 16S ribosomal RNA". It matches the Rfam family "Bacterial small subunit ribosomal RNA", at positions 524 to 776 of the family's 1533-position model. The record is from RNAcentral.